UUCGGGGCGAUACACGAGUGGCGAACGGGUGAGUAACACGUGGGUAAUCUGCCCUGCACUUCGGGAUAAGCCUGGGAAACCGGGUCUAAUACCGGAUAUGAGCUCCUGCCGCAUGGUGGGGGUUGGAAAGUUUUUCGGUGCAGGAUGAGUCCGCGGCCUAUCAGCUUGUUGGUGGGGUAAUGGCCUACCAAGGCGACAACGGGUAGCCGGCCUGAAAAGGUGAUCGGCCACACUGGGACUGAGACACGGCCCAAACUCCUACGGGAGGCAACAGUGGGGAAUAUUGCACAAUGGGGGAAAGCCUGGAGCAGCCACGCCCCGUGGGGGAAGACGGGCUUUCGAUUGGAAACUCCUUUCAAUAAGGAACAAACCAAAGUGACGGUACCUGGCGAACAAGCACCGGCCAACUACGUGGCAACCGCCGCGGUAAUACGUAGGGUGGAAACGUUGUCCGGAAUUACUGGGCGUAAAGAGCUCGUAAGCGGUUUGUCACGUCCUCCGGGAAAUCCUCCAGCUCAACUGGGGGCGUGCAGGCGAUACGGGCAGACUUGAAUACUACGGGGGAGACUGGAAUUCCUGGUGUAGCGGUGAAAAGCCCAGAAUAUUAAGAGGAACCCGGGUGGCCAAAGUGGGUCUCUUGGGUAGAACUGGACCUUGAAGAGCUAAAGCCUGGGGAGCAACCUGAAUAAAUUCCCUUGGUAACCCAGGCCGAAACUGUGUGGCCGCUAGGUGUGGGCGUCCUUCCCCGGAAUUCCGGGCCGAUAGCUAACAAUUUAAUCGCCCCCCGCGUGGAAAUAAAGGCCCGCCAGGGCUAAACGUAAAGGGAUU
This 828-nucleotide ribosomal RNA is filed under the name bacterium SCS_30Z0_12. RNAcentral describes it as "bacterial SSU rRNA". It matches the Rfam family "Bacterial small subunit ribosomal RNA", at positions 78 to 911 of the family's 1533-position model. The record is from RNAcentral.